GGAAACCAUGGUAACAUCAGUGCUUCUGUUGAGCACAGUGGUCACUCAAAAGAGGCAGAGUGAGUUCAGCCUAUCAUUUGAGAUCCGAGUAUGAUUGGGGAAAUAUCCUGAAAUAGUCUAUGAUUUGAAGAAAUGGAUAGAUGGCUAGAAUAACAUGCUAGAUGGUAGUCAAGUUACUAACUGCAGAAUUGAUUUGAUAAAAUUCUCAUCGUGUCUCCUGACUUAGGAGAAAUAUUGGGUCUGAUGAAUGGGUAAAAUUCCCAGGUGAAAAGAAUUUGGUCUGUAAGAUUUGGCAGCACCCUGAGGUUUGCCAUAUCUGAUGGCCUGGCUUUAGUGGCAGCACCUAGUGAAGGCCCAGGUGUCCUUCUGACAACCUUUACCACCUACCGUUUUGUCCUUACUUAUGUUGAAUCACUACACACAGGCUGUUGAAUUCAGCUGUCUGUGGAGAAAUUAUACCAACCACAUGGUUAGACAGAAGGAAUACAAUAUAUUGCUUAAUUUGUAUCUGAAAGCUAAGCAACAUGGAAAAAAAUCAAGCAUGCUCAGUCACUUCCAUGAGGACAAACGAAGACACUUCAAGGAGGACAUUGACAUGGAUCUGCCAGCUUUCUAAGACUUUCCCCAGAUUCAAGUCCAGUCACAUCAAGUUGCCUUAUUAAAGGGUCUGCCCACUCAAAAGGAGAAAGUGCAAAAGAUGCUCAGCAAGGGUAGCAAACGCAGUCAGAUGAUACUUCCUGACAGCAUCCAAGAGCAAGUCUCACCACCACAUCUGUCAAUAAAAAAGAAAACAAGGAGCUGCCAAUUUGUCUAUUUAUAGGUGCCAAUAAAAUCCUGCACAGAACUUUAGUCAACAAGACUAUUUCAGAAGGGGUGGCCAACAGUGUGGCCUUUCACUGGCAAGGGCCACCUUUGUCAUCACUUAAGAAAGAAAACCUGCCAAGUUUUCUGUGAGGCCCUCAAUAAAUCUUACUGAGUAUUUCCAUACACAUCAGCCACCUUAACUUGAGGAAAGCCAACUUGUGGCCAGAUCCUUCACAAACACCUGGAAACUAGUGUGGCUUCUGGUUCUAGCCAUUCGGUAACAGCUCUGAGGCUGAAUAAAUUGGACGUGAGAAUGUGACAGUGAAAGACGGCUUGGGAACACCCAGGGUCUGAAUAAAGCUUAGAAAAUACACCACACCUUUAUAGAAAAAGUAGAUUUCUGUUUUAUAAGGGAAAGAUUGGCAGGAGUUCCAGGCCAGCUGCCCCCAAGAAAGAGGUAACUAUUUAAGCCAAUAAGGUUUCCAUCUACACAAGUGCUCAAGUGGAAACCAGCCAACCAGAGUUA
Molecule: long non-coding RNA, 1330 nt
Filed under: Homo sapiens (human)
Lineage: Eukaryota; Metazoa; Chordata; Mammalia; Primates; Hominidae
Description: HSALNT0327382
Source: RNAcentral